Molecule: transfer RNA, 93 nt
Filed under: Holosporales bacterium
Lineage: Bacteria; Pseudomonadati; Pseudomonadota; Alphaproteobacteria; Holosporales
Description: tRNA-Ser
Rfam family: tRNA
About the family: Transfer RNA (tRNA) molecules are approximately 80 nucleotides in length. Their secondary structure includes four short double-helical elements and three loops (D, anti-codon, and T loops). Further hydrogen bonds mediate the characteristic L-shaped molecular structure. tRNAs have two regions of fundamental functional importance: the anti-codon, which is responsible for specific mRNA codon recognition, and the 3' end, to which the tRNAs corresponding amino acid is attached (by aminoacyl-tRNA synthetases). tRNAs cope with the degeneracy of the genetic code in two manners: having more than one tRNA (with a specific anti-codon) for a particular amino acid; and 'wobble' base-pairing, i.e. permitting non-standard base-pairing at the 3rd anti-codon position.
Source: RNAcentral
GGAGGGAUGGCCGAGAGGCUGAAGGCGACGGUUUGCUAAACCGUUAUACGGUGUUAAGUCGUAUCGAGGGUUCGAAUCCCUCUUCCUCCGCCA